AUGAGGGUCUCGGUGAGAGAUUGGUGGACCAGCAACAUACACAUUCGGGUUGGAUCUUCCAAGGCGCUGACCUCUCUGAUGAUGCUCAUCUCAUGGAAGAUAUGGACCGAACGCAAUGCUAGAGUCUUCCGUAACACGGCCGUCACUUCGAUGGUUCUCAUUUCCAAGAUUAAAAAGGAGGCGUCUCUUUGGUCUCUGGCCGGUGCAAAAUAGUUGGGUAUUGUAAUGCGGCGAGAGCAGUUCUUUCUUUUUUCGCCGCUUUGCAGCUUUGUUCUAAAACUUCUUCCUCUGGAAUGGCAAAUCUUUUGCCUUAUUUCAAAAAAAAAAAAACUAGCUGCACGACGACUGCACGUCUCACAGGUGCUCCCGAGCCGAAGGAUGACUCGAAAAAAAUAUAACUAA
RNAcentral lists this ribosomal RNA (402 nucleotides) under Triticum aestivum (bread wheat). Its description in RNAcentral is "partial small subunit ribosomal RNA". Lineage: Eukaryota; Viridiplantae; Streptophyta; Magnoliopsida; Poales; Poaceae. The record is from RNAcentral.